Molecule: ribosomal RNA, 454 nt
Filed under: uncultured soil bacterium
Lineage: Bacteria
Description: bacterial SSU rRNA
Rfam family: Bacterial small subunit ribosomal RNA
Source: RNAcentral
GGAAUUCGAUUAACGCGAAGAACCUUACCUGGGUUUGAACUUCAGGUGUAAGGCUCAGAGAUGAGCCCCUCCCUUCGGGGACACCUGGAGAGGUGCUGCAUGGCUGUCGUCAGCUCGUGUCGUGAGAUGUUGGGUUAAGUCCCGCAACGAGCGCAACCCUUGCUCAUAGUUGCUAACGCGUAAUGGCGAGCACUCUAUGGGGACUGCCGGUGAUAAACCGGAGGAAGGUGGGGAUGACGUCAAGUCCUCAUGGCCUUUAUGUCCAGGGCUACACACGUGCUACAAUGGACGGUACAAAGAGUCGCGAUCCCGCGAGGGGGAGCUAAUCUCAAAAAGCCGUUCUCAGUUCGGAUUGCACUCUGCAACUCGAGUGCAUGAAGCUGGAAUCGCUAGUAAUCGCGGAUCAGCACGCCGCGGUGAAUACGUUCCCGGGCCUUGUCACACCGAAUCACUA